GUGGGGAAUAUUGGACAAUGGGCGAAAGCCUGAUCCAGCCAUGCCGCGUGUGUGAAGAAGGUCUUCGGAUUGUAAAGCACUUUAAGUUGGGAGGAAGGGCAGUAAGUUAAUACCUUGCUGUUUUGACGUUACCAACAGAAUAAGCACCGGCUAACUUCGUGCCAGCAGCCGCGGUAAUACGAAGGGUGCAAGCGUUAAUCGGAAUUACUGGGCGUAAAGCGCGCGUAGGUGGUUUUGUAAGUUGGAGGUGAAAUCCCCGGGCUCAACCUGGGAACUGCGUCCAAAACUGCAUGACUAGAGUACGGUAGAGGGUAGUGGAAUUUCCUGUGUAGCGGUGAAAUGCGUAGAUAUAGGAAGGAACACCAGUGGCGAAGGCGACUACCUGGACUGAUACUGACACUGAGGUGCGAAAGCGUGGGGAGCAAACAGGAUUAGAUACCCCAGUAGUCC
Molecule: ribosomal RNA, 450 nt
Filed under: uncultured bacterium
Lineage: Bacteria
Description: partial 16S ribosomal RNA
Rfam family: Bacterial small subunit ribosomal RNA
Source: RNAcentral